AUUUGAGGUCUGGCCUGCCCACUGAAUAAUUUUAAAGGGCCGCGGUAUAUUAACCGUGCGAAGGUAGCAUAGUCAAUAGUCUUUUAAUUGGAGGCUUGAAUGAACGGUCGGACAUAGGGAAGUCUGUCUUCGGUUGAUUAAGAUGAAUUUAACUUUUGUGUGAAAAGGCAUUAAUAUUUUAAGGGGACGAUAAGACCCUAUAAAACUUGAUGAUUAAGCUGAUCUUCGUGAUUUAGGGGUAAUGUGGGGCUUAGGUAAGUUCAUUGUGCUGGGGCGGCAGGAAUAUAAUUAACUAACUGUUCUUAUUUAUAAAAUAGUUUUAAUUAGAGAGUGACCCUGAAAUUUCGGGUUGUAAGAUUAAGUUACUUUAGGGAUAACAGCGUUA
Molecule: ribosomal RNA, 385 nt
Filed under: Alpheus inopinatus
Lineage: Eukaryota; Metazoa; Arthropoda; Malacostraca; Decapoda; Alpheidae
Description: partial large subunit ribosomal RNA
Rfam family: Archaeal large subunit ribosomal RNA
Source: RNAcentral